Molecule: long non-coding RNA, 769 nt
Filed under: Ananas comosus (pineapple)
Lineage: Eukaryota; Viridiplantae; Streptophyta; Magnoliopsida; Poales; Bromeliaceae
Description: long non-coding RNA (ACOM_LNC018765)
Source: RNAcentral
GAAGAUGUAGUUUAAAUUGAACAAAUUUUUAGAUAAAUUAGAGUUUAGAUAAAAAUUAUUUAUUUUUUACCUUUUUUAUAGUUAUAAAAUUGAAUUUUUUUUAAUUUUAUUAUUUAUUUGACAGAAAAUUUUUUUAGGGGCCAUUUGGUUAGAUGUAAUUAUAAAUGCAGUGUAGUUAGAAAUGCAUGUAAUUGAAAAUACAACAGUUAUAACUAUAUAAAUCUUGCUUGGUUGGAUAUAGUAGAAAGCGCUGCAAAUAUAAAUAAUUUGUUUGGUUGCAUGCAGUUAAAAAAUAAUUUUUAAAAGUUUAUUAUUUUAUAUAUAUGAUAGUGAGAUUACCUCCAAUGUAAAGAAGAAAAAUAAUUUUUAUUUUAAAAAUAUUGAGAAGGUAAGCAUACCUUCUAUUUAAAAUUAAUCUCUCCAACUGCUGUAGUUGGAACUACAGCCAUUUUGGGCGUAGUUCAAAUUGCUAUAGUUGGGCCUCCUUUUGCAGUUUCUACUGUAGCAGUUGGAGUUAAAUACAUCAAACCAAGCACAAAAUUUGUAUUUACAUGCAGUUACAACUGCAAUGCAGCUGCAACUACACGUAACCAAACGGCCAUUUAGAGGAGGAUAGCAUGCUAGGCACUUCGUUUAUUUUUUUAUAAAUAAAUUUAAUUAAAAAUAUAAAGUAUUUAGACUUUAAACUACUAACUAUUAAGCUUUUUGCUACUUACACUAGAGGUGGUCGAUAUUUAUUUAAUAGAAAAUAAACAAGGUAAGAAUUAAA